This 437-nucleotide ribosomal RNA is filed under the name Clostridioides difficile. RNAcentral's name for it is "bacterial SSU rRNA". It matches the Rfam family "Bacterial small subunit ribosomal RNA", at positions 1 to 445 of the family's 1533-position model. The record is from RNAcentral. Lineage: Bacteria; Bacillati; Bacillota; Clostridia; Peptostreptococcales; Peptostreptococcaceae.
UUUUAUUUGAGAGUUUGAUCCUGGCUCAGGAUGAACGCUGGCGGCGUGCCUAACACAUGCAAGUUGAGCGAUUUACUUCGGUAAAGAGCGGCGGACGGGUGAGUAACGCGUGGGUAACCUACCCUGUACACACGGAUAACAUACCGAAAGGUAUGCUAAUACGGGAUAAUAUAUUUGAGAGGCAUCUCUUGAAUAUCAAAGGUGAGCCAGUACAGGAUGGACCCGCGUCUGAUUAGCUAGUUGGUAAGGUAACGGCUUACCAAGGCGACGAUCAGUAGCCGACCUGAGAGGGGGAUCGGCCACAUUGGAACUGCGACACGGUCCAAACUCCUACGGGAGGCAGCAGUGGGGAAUAUUGCACAAUGGGCGAAAGCCUGAUGCAGCAACGCCGCGUGAGUGAUGAAGGCCUUCGGGUCGUAAAACUCUGUCCUCAAGGA